Molecule: ribosomal RNA, 427 nt
Filed under: uncultured bacterium
Lineage: Bacteria
Description: partial 16S ribosomal RNA
Rfam family: Bacterial small subunit ribosomal RNA
Source: RNAcentral
UGGGGAAUAUUGCACAAUGGGCGCAAGCCUGAUGCAGCCAUGCCGCGUGUAUGAAGAAGGCCUUCGGGUUGUAAAGUACUUUCAGAGGGGAGGAAGGCGAUGUGGUUAAUAACCGCGUCGAUUGACGUUACCCGCAGAAGAAGCACCGGCUAACUCCGUGCCAGCAGCCGCGGUAAUACGGAGGGUGCAAGCGUUAAUCGGAAUUACUGGGCGUAAAGCGCACGCAGGCGGUAUGUCAAGUCGGAUGUGAAGUCCCCGGGCUCAACCUGGGAACUGCAUCCGAAACUGGCAGGCUUGAGUCUCGUAGAGGGUGGUAGAAUUCCAGGUGUAGCGGUGAAAUGCGUAGAGAUCUGGAGGAAUACCGGUGGCGAAGGCGGCCCCCUGGACGAAGACUGACGCUCAGGUGCGAAAGCGUGGGGAGCAAACA